GUGGGGAAUCUUGCGCAAUGGGCGAAAGCCUGACGCAGCCAUGUCGCGUGAAUGAUGAAGGUCUUAGGAUUGUAAAAUUCUUUCACCGGGGACGAUAAUGACGGUACCCGGAGAAGAAGCCCCGGCUAACUUCGUGCCAGCAGCCGCGGUAAUACGAAGGGGGCUAGCGUUGCUCGGAAUUACUGGGCGUAAAGGGCGCGUAGGCGGACAGUUUAGUCAGAGGUGAAAGCCCAGGGCUCAACCUUGGAAUUGCCUUUGAUACUGGCUGUCUUGAGUACGGGAGAGGUGAGUGGAACUCCGAGUGUAGAGGUGAAAUUCGUAGAUAUUCGGAAGAACACCAGUGGCGAAGGCGACUCACUGGCCCGUUACUGACGCUGAGGUGCGAAAGCGUGGGGAGCAAACAGGAUUAGAAACCCGAGUAGUCC
This 425-nucleotide ribosomal RNA is filed under the name uncultured bacterium. Its description in RNAcentral is "partial 16S ribosomal RNA". It matches the Rfam family "Bacterial small subunit ribosomal RNA", at positions 354 to 796 of the family's 1533-position model. The record is from RNAcentral.